GAUGAACGCUGGCGGCGUGCCUAAUACAUGCAAGUCGAGCGAACAGACGAGGAGCUUGCUCCUCUGACGUAAGCGGCGGACGGGUGAGUAACACGUGGAUAACCUACCUAUAAGACUGGGAUAACUUCGGGAAACCGGAGCUAAUACCGGAUAAUAUAUUGAACCGCAUGGUUCAAUAGUGAAAGACGGUUUUGCUGUCACUUAUAGAUGGAUCCGCGCCGCAUUAGCUAGUUGGUAAGGUAACGGCUUACCAAGGCAACGAUGCGUAGCCGACCUGAGAGGGUGGUCGGCCACACGGGAAGUGAGACAGGGUCCAGACUCCGACGGGAGGCAGCAGUAGGGAAUCUUCCGCAAUGGGCGAAAGCUUGACGGAGCAACGCCGCGUGAGGGAUGAAGGUCUUCGGAUCGUAAAACUCUGUUAUUAGGGAAGAACAAAUGUGUAAGUAACUAUGCACGUCUUGACGGUACCUAAUCAGAAAGCCACGGCUAACUACGUG
This 497-nucleotide ribosomal RNA is filed under the name uncultured bacterium. Its description in RNAcentral is "partial 16S ribosomal RNA". It matches the Rfam family "Bacterial small subunit ribosomal RNA", at positions 28 to 507 of the family's 1533-position model. The record is from RNAcentral.